CCAAAUGUAAGCAUUUCAAGCGCCAUGAGACUUAGAUUGAUCGAUUUUUAUAUUUUAUACUGUAGUACAUAGUCUAUGUAAAACAAUAAUAGCUGUGGCAAGUAAAGGAGGCCAGACUUUAAAGGAGGCUGUCCAGAGAAUGUUCUUUGCGUUAUUCACUAAUAACCUCUGCUGUAAACUCAACUGGUCUGGUAGUACCAUAAAUGACAAUGAAAGUAACUUUGUAAAACAAAGACUUAAACUUGCUUAAAAGCUUAUGCUUUGCAAAAGGUUCACCAUCGCCCUUAAGUUGCUGUGGGUUUUACGGUUUUACUUUCAACCUGGCAUAUAA
Hydra vulgaris (swiftwater hydra) is the source of this 331-nucleotide non-coding RNA. The record is from RefSeq and is a predicted model, not a curated record. NCBI's taxonomy places the organism in Eukaryota, Metazoa, Cnidaria, Hydrozoa, Anthoathecata, Hydridae.